UGAAUCAGGAAGAGGAAUAGAGACUAGGAGAAGUAUGAAUGAGAACAUGAAGGAAAACCAAAUAAAGCUCUAAAUUCUGGAGUUGGAGUCUGGCCUGAUGAUUUUCCUAGUGCCUCUCAUUUCUGUAGUUCUUACGUGCUCAUUCCUCUUACUUUUGGCU
Molecule: microRNA precursor, 160 nt
Filed under: Leersia perrieri
Lineage: Eukaryota; Viridiplantae; Streptophyta; Magnoliopsida; Poales; Poaceae
Description: pre miRNA MIR2118
Source: RNAcentral